GAGCGAUGGCAGAGUGGUCGAACGCGGCGGUCUUGAAAACCGUUGUACUCUUACGGGUACCGGGGGUUCAAAUCCCUCUCGCUCC
RNAcentral lists this transfer RNA (85 nucleotides) under uncultured Treponema sp. It matches the Rfam family "tRNA". Rfam says of the family: Transfer RNA (tRNA) molecules are approximately 80 nucleotides in length. Their secondary structure includes four short double-helical elements and three loops (D, anti-codon, and T loops). The record is from RNAcentral. Lineage: Bacteria; Pseudomonadati; Spirochaetota; Spirochaetia; Treponematales; Treponemataceae.